GUGCCUAGACCCUGGAGUUGGUACUCAAUAAGUAUUUGUUGAAAGAAUAAAAGAGGGAAGGAGGAAAGGAAAGGAAGAGAGGAAGGAUGUUAUUCCACCCCCUUGCUGCAUCCUAGCUUUCACUUCUCCUCCUACCAUUCUUCCUUCCCGCUGCCGUCUACCUCCUGUCUCUGGCUAUUCUUUUGCACCCUGCCACUCUCAUCCCUCCCCCUUCACCUGCUUAACUCUCAUUCUUCCUUUCCCACCUUCUCAAGCAUUUCCCUGGCUUCUCUAACCAGGUCAAACCACCACACACACACACUCUCUACCUCCACCAAGCAAGCCAGAAAAAUCAAUUAAAUGUUUAGUGUCCUCUCUUUUACGAACUUAUCACAUUACAGAUUUCUCAUUUAUGGGAGUGAUUUUUAAAAUUAAUGUCUGAGCCCCAGGGCCCCCAAUGCCACCUAGGGUUCAUGAGAAUAGGACCCUAUCUAUUCACAUUAUACCUCAAGGUACUAGCACACAGAAGGCAUGCAAUUCUAUUUGUUGGUUAAAUGAAGUCAAAAUUUACCCUCUGAAAUAAACAUGAAUUCAUAUACUAUUCUUAGCUAAGUGCUCCAUGAGAGCCUAAUAACUCUUAAUAGUCGUAGCAGCAGCAGCCAUGGUCAUUAUUGCUCUUUUCACACACAAUGUCACCUUUAGAUUCUUACCACCUCACCUGACCCAGUACCCUCAAUUAUUUGCCCCCAUCUUGCACCCUGAGCUAACCUGCAGACACUCUGUUCUUAGGAACUGCGAUCUCCUUCUUACUCUAAUGCACACUGCAGGUGCUCCCAAUCAUGCCUCCACUGUAGAACUUACCCUUCUGAAUGUGUCUACAGGUCUACGUGCUCCCCAGGGUCAUAAGUGCAGCUUAUUCUCUUCCUAUCUCUAAUGCCUAGCACUGUGACAUAUCCAAUGAAAGUUUGAAGAAACAAGAAGUUAUUCUAUUAUGACUGAUUUCAAGCCCUCUGUGAUUAGAUGACAACCUAUGAUGCAGAGACCCCCAGCAAAAAUCAAUGCCUGUCUCUUAAAUUUCAAAAGCACACCAGCCUGAGGAGGAAAGCCCAGUAAAUCACCCAACUCUUUGGUCACCUAUGUUCACAGUCUCAGGUAUGGGGAUCCAGCAGUUCUGAUCAUUCACAUCCUAGAGUCUCUCAAUUACUAUUUGAGAGGCAUUUCAAAAAUCCUCAAUUCCGAACUGUCUCACUUUGAUGAUCUGUCUAAAUUUCAAUUGCAUUGCAUCAUUUUUUCAAGUUUAUUGGUAAGAAAAAAUGCUCAUUGGAAAUAUACACAGCUUUAAGAUGGGCUUUUUGUAGACAAUUUCUUGAACACACACACACACAUUAUCUCCCUGAUAGGCAAUAAUGGCUCUUUAAGGAGCUGUCAUGAUCAAUCGUAAAAAUACAUAUUUAGAACACUUUUUAAAAUGUGUGUAUUAUAAAAAUGUUUUAAGAUGAAAACUAUUUACCCAAAAGACUAUAAUGGUUCUGAAGAGUAUUUUGUAAAUCCAUAUUUGCGACUUUAAGGGGGGAAAAAACAUUUCUGACCUGGGAGAUCUUAAAGACUACACUAAGCCAUUAACAUUUAUUGUCUCUCAAGGGCUAAAAAUGUUGCUGGGAAUAUGCUUCCAGGUUAGAGAAAAAACACAGCCCAUUCUUCUGACAAAGGGUCUUGGAUGCUUCUCCCUGUCCUGCCCCAAAGGCUGACAGACACCAGUCCAUUAUACUAACUAAUGGCACACUUAGAAGAAAAUGCCAUACAGAAGAUGUUAGCCCAGAGACCUUGACUAAUGGGUCCUGUCUAAUGUUCAAAGACCCCAUCAGCUCUGGUCACUGAUGAGACAUUCGAAGAGUAGUGCAUUAAGACCUUGGUGGAGAAAGUCACUGUGGGAAAUUUGAGAGGAUGAAUUGGAUCUUGGAGGAGAAAUCACUCUUUAUUCCUCUCAUCUGAAGCCUGAUUCAGGAGAAAAGAGAUGAUUAAGAAUCCCAUAUAAAAACCUAGUCUCCUGCACCUUUUCUAUCUCCUACCAUAGUCCUGACCAAAGAAAACGCAUGUCUGAUUAAGAGCACUUAGCCCUUCUGCUUAGUACGUACUGUGGGCUGUGUUUACCAAUGCAGGAAAACAGGACACUUUCUGGUUAAUGGGGGGAAAAAAAAGGCAUUCACUUCAAUGCUGCACCAGAAAUUUUCUUAAGAGAUACGAGGGUCUAUCUAGCGAAUAGCAGAAAAUACACUGGAUGGGCCCCAAGGUGGUAAAUGCUGUAUAGUGCCUUCAUAAUUUCUGUCAACGUUUUUUAACAAAAGAGGUUGGGUUUAGAAAAAAAAAAAAAAGAGUUGGGGAUGGAAUGAGAGAGGGGAGAAAAAGAGAAAGCUAGAAAGAAAAGGAAGACUGAAAGACAUCAGUGGUCUUAUAUCCUAAGUGCUGGCCUGAAGCAAACUGUCACAGGUCACCUCUAAACAGAAGUCAGAAAUGGAAAGUCAGAGAAACUUAACCAGAACCACAUGAGAAACACUAUUGGAUAUAAACAGUUGGGGUGGAGGCUGACAGGGGCCUCGUGUUGACAUAUUUUUCACUUUUUUAUACUCCAGAGUUCACAAAUUUCUACUGGGCUUCCUCAAAAACCUUACCUGUCAGGUCUGAAGGGCCAGCUGGGUUUGAUUAGGACAGCAGUGCACCCCUGCACGGGGGAAACGAGGUCAGGGAUGAUUGGACUCGGCUUUACACCAAAGGAAGUCCAGUCCCUAAUAGUUAAUGAAACGAGCAGAUUUCCCUUCUCACACCUGAAAUAACCUGCCUCCAGAGUCUGCCCAAUAUACUGUCUCCGAAAGCAAACAGCCCCAGCUAAGAGCACCUUCAAAGCCAAGCUUUCAUUUAUUGUCAAGACAGAAUCGAAUUGGUCUUUUUUAUGUAGCACAUGAGUUAGGCUGACCUAGCCAUUCCGACACAGCAAAGCACGGGUUCAUUGUGUUGGCUUCUUUCCCUUCCCUGUAAUGUAACAAAAGGAAUCUAAAUACUCGAGGGCUUCGAAGCCCCAGGAUGAGAGUACUGAGCUCUCAUCAUCGGUAAUGGGACUUAAACCUAGCAUUCUAGGCAGAAUGGACUUCUUUGUUGGGUACUUUUCCUCUUUUUUCCCUGAGCUUGAGAUUUCACACCAGUUACAUUCACAAACCCAUAAUAAAUCACUAGGAAUGUAAAAUACACUAUGCUCCCCCCCCCCAACACACACGUUGGCCUGGGUCAUUUAUCAUUCUGUGGAUUUCAAAAAGAUGGUAGUGUUUUUAUUGCAAAGGCCUUGUCAUUACAGAAACUAGAAAAGAAAGUAUUGAUCACAAUUAGAUCAUGGAUUAGCAGCCCCUGAUGCCUGGACUGUUGAGAAUUUCAACCUAGAUCACUCUCCCCUCUGUUAAAACUCUGGAGAGCAAAUUUCUUUUAUGUUAGAAUAACUAGUAUAAACCCAUAGAAUGUAACCUAAAAAUGUAAUUAUAAUUGCCAUGCCAAAAGCAAGCCAGUCAAUAUCUUCAAGAUUCUAAUAGUUUCAAGCACUAUUACCUUAACGGUCUCACAUCACAGUACUGAUUAAAGAAACAUUUUGUCUUUUUAUCUGUAUGGAAUGGCCAGCGUAAUCACUGAAGCAUAGAGAGCUAAAAUAUUUAUUAGUGAGUAUACAUCUUGGUUCAGGCAGUGAAUGUCAAUGUAGGGUGGAAAGCUACAACACAGCCCUCCGUUCAACCCAUCUGCAGGUUCUUCUCCUGCUCCUUGGGUGGUCACCCCAAGAAGAGGAGGAGAUCUUAGAAUCGACCCCUCCACCCAAACGCCCUCCCCCUGCAGAUUUCCCAGAAAGAAGCUCUCCUCGGGAGCUUUGAAACUGGUCGCGAAUCGACAGUGGCUAUUGUGGAACCAGUGUAACCAACAGAGACAAGCCUGAGAAACAGGCGCUGAGUGGGUGGAAAGCAUGAAGGGAGACUAGACUGACAGCGCCAGGUUCUCCCACCAGCCCUUCCUGUCCAGCCACACAGACAAGCAAACGAAACUAUUCAUUUUUACUUGAUUGAUUAACAUAAAUGCCAUCUAAAAUCUGUGAAUCAAAACCUAGCAUUUUCCCACAGGGUAUAUCAUCUAAAAUUUAUAUCUAGAAAGGUACCUAUCAUCCCAUUCGAGCCAAUUACCAAAGGCAGAAUUAGAAGGAACCUGUAAAAGGGGUUCUCCAAGCUAGACACUUAAUACUGCUUCUUUCUCCAAACCGGACCAUUGAAUUAUAUAGAUUUGGAAUGUACGCAAUAUAAAAAGGUGUUUUAAAAUGAACGACCUGUUCCCAAUCAUUUCUCCAAGAAGGAAAAAUACACUUUCUCCCAAUUAGCUGAACAGGAAGAAAAUUUAGUGUCCCAUCAGUUCAGAAGCAUCAGCACAGUGGUCAAAUUAAAAUUUCUACCAUGUGAUGUGCACAAUUAAUUUUACAAUUCCGUGUAUCCGUGGAAUGUGCGUUUCCAAAGCUAGAUACAAAAUCAGGUGAGAAAAUCGGCUUCGUUUAGGGAAAUACACUCCAUGGCCUGGUAAAAAACGCCACAGCACUGCCCUCCGAGUGAGUGCUGAGGGAAAGCAUCUAUUAGGACUCGUUGCCAGCUCUUAGGUAAACGGGAUAGCAGGCUCCCAAUCCACCCUGCUUGGGGACAAGGGAGCAGAGACGAGAGAGACCCAGAGGCGAAGGGGAUGGAAAAUGGGUGAUGUCCAGCUCCAGAAUUAAGUGAAAACGCCAACCUUGUCAUCCAGGGAUGGCCAGACAAAGGGAAGCAGCAGCAUCGCACCUGCGCAGCCUACCCAUGGGUUAACUGGCAUUUCUAAUACUUUUCACCUAGUCUGACUUGACAGAUGCCUAACCUUAGCUACUGAGUGGAGACAGGCUGAUGGGUCUUGGCCAUACAGGGGGAAAAUUUUUGAUGCUUCUCACUUAUGACAUGAUUGAUUUUCUUUCAGCGGCCCUUCACUUUGGGAAGUGGCGAGGGCUGGCUCACUGCGCCCCGGUGCGCCCUGACCCCCGACACGCGGCCGCUGUGAGGCUGGAAACCGAUGACGGCAGAAACCUAAAAAAUCAAUAGGCCCUGUCAGUCAGGGGCGAGGCGGACGUCUUUUAAAAACCCAAUCACGACAUGUAUUUGCUGCACGGUGCGGAUCUCCUGCACACUUGAGAACACACUGAAUUUCCCCUUCCCCUUAUUUAUUUACUUGGCUCCGCUUUACACUGAAUUUUCCCUCUUUUGGGGAGCAGGGGGAAGACUUCACCCUCUCAGGCAGGGAGGGAGAGGGAGCCAGCCGUGUGCUGAGGUUGGUUCUUCAUGAUAUUAACAGGAAAAAUUCCCUGGAAACUAUGUGAAUAGUAUGAAAUAAAUAGAGCACCUUGUGGCUGCCAAUAUAAACACUGACAUCAUUUUUUUGACAUUAUCUGGAAAGAAUUUAGAUAUAAGACUUUUAAGUCUAAAAACACAUGAGGGCAAAGCUGCUUGAUAGACUCAGCUAAGGGAGGAGUAUUGUUUAAUUUUUCUUUGGGGGGUUUCUUUAAGGGGAAAGAAUGGAGAACGAACACACACACACACACACACACACACACACACACACCCUAUAGUUCUCUGCUGGGGAAGUACGGCAAGCACUGUGAGAAUCCCUCCGUUCUCAAGCAGGGUCAGCGCAAUAUUCUCCAUUCAGUGAGGAAGAAAUAUCAAAUAUGCAUCUUUUCUUUGGGAGACAGACAAUGCAAAAGAUGGCAUUUAGCUUCUUCGUGAUCUGAGGAAGGGGAAAAUAAAUAUCAACUAUGACAAGCCAAAAAGAUAAGAGAAAUACCAUCCGCUGGAAGGCUGUCGCACAGAGAAAGAAACCCCACCCUCACACAAAAAGAAAAAAAGCAAAUGAAAAGGGUCUGGAGACUAUGGCAAAACAGGGAAGGAUACUCUUAGGUACAAUUAAAAUGUGUAUUAUGAGAGUUAUGUGCGAGUGUAUUUCAGAAUUUCUGUGUCAUGCUUUUCUUCUUUCUUUUCAGAAAAAGAGGUAGAUUAUGCAUCAUCUCCAAGUCCACCAAGGUAAAUAUCACAUAGAGAAAGAAAACAAAUAAACAAAAUCUGUGCCUGAAUUCCCAAACUAAGCCCAAUUAAAGGUUUCUUUAUGGCUGUAAACCUGACAAGCUACAAUUUCCCCCUGUUGCAGUGGGUGUGUGUGUUUUAAUGUAAUAUUAAUGAGCCAGGAUGGAGGGUCAUAAAAAGUGAUAGGUUUUUUCGAUGGUAAAUUAUAAAUCGGUAUUGAUUUUUCCCGGCACUAAUGCAGCCAGCUUAUUGUAAGACACCACAGGCAAAGUGCACUUUAUCAGAUUAGACUGGGGCCGGUAUCAAAUAUACAUGAGAAUAAGGAUGCAUUUGUGAGUUAGACUACACUUUUCUUCCCUAACAAUGCAUGAAAUUUUUAAGGAAAAAAAAAAAAUCCCACCAGAUGGGGAUACUGGGAAAUUCAACAUUAUUUUUCCAAAGCACAAAUUUCCAGAAUGGUUGCUCUUGGGACAAUUUAUUUCAAAAUGAAUAGAAGGCAGGAAUGAU
This 6596-nucleotide long non-coding RNA is filed under the name Sus scrofa (pig). RNAcentral describes it as "lncRNA (ENSSSCG00030049006.1)". The record is from RNAcentral. Lineage: Eukaryota; Metazoa; Chordata; Mammalia; Artiodactyla; Suidae.